RNAcentral lists this ribosomal RNA (301 nucleotides) under uncultured bacterium. RNAcentral describes it as "partial 16S ribosomal RNA". It matches the Rfam family "Bacterial small subunit ribosomal RNA", at positions 509 to 809 of the family's 1533-position model. The record is from RNAcentral.
CAGUCGCCGCGGGAAUACGUAGGUGGCAAGCGUUGUCCGGAAUUAUUGGGCGUAAAGGGCUCGCAGGCGGCUUCUUAAGUCUGAUGUGAAAGCCCCCGGCUCAACCGGGGAGGGUCAUUGGAAACUGGGAAACUUGAGUGCAGAAGAGGAGAGUGGAAUUCCACGUGUAGCGGUGAAAUGCGUAGAGAUGUGGAGGAACACCAGUGGCGAAGGCGACUCUCUGGUCUGUAACUGACGCUGAGGAGCGAAAGCGUGGGGAGCGAACAGGAUUAGAUACCCCCGUAGUCCCUGUCUCUUAUAA